AGGUGAGGGGAGGCUCGCGGGCAACCGGCUGCAGCUCCCAUGGGGGCUCCAAGCCCCACAGGUGACGUCUGACACGCCUGCCCCUCACCCAUCUCAGGGCCAGACCUGGGCUCUGUUCCCAGGGCCCGGGCCACCGUGACGUCUGCAUAACACACUUCAAAGGGGCACAGGGCUGGGGAGGCCUGGCUGUUUCUUGGACAUCAAACAGCGCUUGCAAAAUAGUUAAUGACUUAUGAAUGAAUCAGAACCAGAUGGAUUCAGUUUCCCCCAGAAUGCAUCCUGAAGACCUCUUACACAUACCCACCCCCGAGAACACUCAGCCCUCCCCGGGGAUGCGGUCUUGGCCACAGGGGCUGGGGGCUGGGGAAGCCCGUGUGCUUUUAGCCCAUGAGACUCCCCAGCUCCUCAUUCCUUCCUUUCUCCUGGUUGCCACUCUUCCUAGAAGGAGAUCACCCAUCAGAGCCCUGUCACAGGGCUGAGUGACAUCAGACCAUGGGCUCUCUGGUUAGGCUGGGAGGCCGUGUAUAAGUUCAAGUCACUCUCCUGCCCAUCCGUCCUGGCGGUGGUCGGGUCUAAGUGUCACCUUGGGCCUCAUGCUCCACUGUCACCCUGGGCCUUGCCGCAGUCUUGCUUUUGGAGGAGGAGGUGUGUUGUUAUUGGACUUGCUUUCAUAGAAACAAUAAUCAGACACCUUAAAAAAUUGUAAGUAUUGCUUUGUGUGUCACUAUAGCUCAAUAGAAAACCCACGGAAAACAGACACCAGCAAUCCUCAGGAAAAAAACAAAUGGACAGUCAGAAGUGGUCUGUUUGGUGGUUGUAAUAAUUAGAAAUUCACUGGGAGGUUGUUCUGUGCCUGAAAUGCAGUGGCUCUUGAGAUCAGUGGUGUCCAUCUGUGUGCAUCCGCACGUGAGAGAGACAGAGCCAGACAGAGACAGAGACAAAUAGAGAGAGACAGAGAAAGAGACAGAGACAGGGAGAGACAGAGACAGAGAUAGAGAGGGACAGAGACAGAGAGACAGAGAGAGACACAAAGAGAGAGGAACGGAGAGAGAGAGGGACAGAGAGGGGGAGAAAGACAGACAUAAAGAGACAGAGAGAGCGAGAAAGAGAGAGGGAGAGAGAGAGGGACAGAAGGAGACAGACAGGAGACAGACACAGACCGGGAAGUGAGUCCACGCUGCCCUGUGGUGUGGGUGUUUCGUAAGGUUUUUACUGGCUCCCACCACUGUGUACAUAGGGCCCUAUUAGCAGUUGCUUGGCCAAGAAUAAAGAAUCUCUAAUUCUGUUUUAGAAAUACAAUUUAAGGAGCUGGAGUUUAAAAUAACUGUCCUGAGCUUCGGAAAACUCAUCUCUGGAAACCAUCCAUGGAAGGAUGUUUGUAUCCCCAGAGGGUCUCAUGGGGCAAAAAGCAAGUCAGAUUUUUCUGCAUUUCAGGCAGCGGCUCCUGAAAGGUGCCUCAUGCAUCUCUUUCAGACAGUGACUGCCUUGCUUUUGCGAGAGCCAGGGCCCCUCCAGUGCCCUCAGUCACAUUCUCAACUGCAACCAGAAGGUUUAAAAUCCAGUACUUUGAGUGCUGUAUACCCUCCAUGUGUGUCUGAUUCUGCUUUGUGGAAGCAGCUUGUGUCAGAGAUGCAGCAAGUCCAGCUCCUAAUGCUUAGUGCAGGGGAGGAGACGGGGAGACCGAUAACGCUGCCUUGUCUGCAGGGCAGCCCUGCCUUUUACUUUCAGCCCUUUCUAAAAAUGGCACAUGCAAAGUAAGAAAACAAGUUUAUCUGUUGCUGGGAGGAACACAGGCGGGAGAGGAGUCUAGUCUCCAGCUUGGUGUGAUUUUAUUUUUAUCUUUCACUUUUGCAGCAGAACAUCAGGGGGCUAGUGCAAAGCCAGGUCGGCCUGGGCUUCAGGUAGCAUCAUCAGGGUCAUAGAGGUUGAUUUCACCUGGCCCGGGAUGGGGACCGUGUGAAGUUGGGGGUUGAGGAUGAGGAGACUCCUCCGUGGAGUCUCUUUAGAAAAGCCCAGUUGCAUGUGUCUUUGUAACUCAAGAAGACACCAACCCCCGACUGUCCUUCUCUUGAGGCGGUCAGUCAGUUCACAGGGCACUGGUCUGGGAUGUGGGCAGAUAAGCAGCCGGGCCUGCUCCAAGACCCCAGUUGUCCUGCAGCUUCUGCACUUGCCAUCCUGUCUCUGUGCUUCUUAUUUGCACAAGCUCAGGGUAGGGGGGUUGGAGGCAGGAACCAGCAUUUGGAUUCAUGGCUGGGCAAUCCAGAACAGUCGAAGAACCAGGAGAUAAUUUAUGUUUUGUUCUGGGUUACUUAUUUUUAUGGAGUGAUAGUGAGAGAAAUAAUGACUUUAGUUUCCUAAGUAUAAACUCCUUGCGCCGGUAUUAAAAUUCGCAGUUGUUUGCAUUUGCUGAGUGCAUAUCCGCUGUGGGGGAAGAGAACCCAAGGCAAAGUGUGGCAGGGGGUUGAGGGGGAGAAGCCAGGAAUUUAGGUGCUGCUGUGGCUUCUCUCAAAACAGAUUCUAACGACCACAGACUCUCCGAGUUACAUUAAUUGUACCUGAGAAAAAGUAGGCAGGUCGAUGUUUGAUGAAAUCCUGUUAUGAUUGCUUGCAAAGGAAGUUAUUGCCAACACAAUUCUGGAUUUUAACGGAUCUGAUCUGCUUAAAGCAUGAUGCACCCAUGCACACAGUAAGUCAGUGCUUGAGACGAGAGACCUGUUCAGAGAGUCAGACUUAGUUCUUGGAAUGCAGAACUUGGCAUUUUAGAGAGAGGAUGCUUUGUCCUGCUCAGACUUUACUGCUGUUGGCAUCUUGCCAUCACCUGGAGUGUGGUCUCCGCUGUUUCUGAUCAGCUGCCCUCCUUCCUCUGCAUGCUUAUUGCGCGCUCUGCAUCUGGGGUGAUGCUUAAGCGGAGGUUAGGAAGGUGAACAGUUAGGUGUGAUUUCUGCCUUUGUGGAGCCUAAAGGCUGGCGGGAGACACUGGCAGAGGACACAGAACUGCUGGGCACCAGGCCUUCUCUCCUCUGAUGCUCUGAUGACAGGACCAACCUGGAAGACCCUGGAGCUGGUUCUGUCACCUGGCCCUUGGAGGUGUUUGCAAUUUCCCCAUGUUUUGUAUUGUUAGGGCACCUUACUUUUUGGAAUGAGCAUCACGAUGGCUCUGCUGGUAUCACAGUCGUAAAAGGAACCAUAAACCACCCAGUGCUGCCUCCCACGGCCACACUCUUGGGGCUGGGGCCUCUUUAGGCAUUUUCCAAGAGGAACGGUCCAUGGGGCCCCUGCUACCUCCUGUUCUCAGAGAGCCAAGGAGUGGGGUGAGUUCCAGCUGCCUGGACAGCCCCUGCUUCAGGGUGGAGGUAAGGUCGACCCUGGAAGUCAGUGCCUGGAGCCAAGGGGGCACCCCUACCCAGGCUCUGCGAGGCCGCCUCUCGGGGCUGCUGGCUCUCUGCCUUUGGGCUGUAGCCGUCACCCCUGCCUGGUGUCCUGUCAGCGCGGCUCUAGGAGCAGCUGUGGGGGCUGCCUGGGAAGGAGGCGGCGAGCUUGCUGCUGGUUACACAUGGACAUGGAGACAUAGCGGCUUUAUUUUUAGGCUUCGCUAAUUCUCGCUCUCCUCCUAGUUCUCAGCUCCCUGGCAACAGCUUGUUGUCAUGGCAACGCCCAUGUUAAUGAGUGAGGCUCUCGGUGUGUCUGUUCCACCCCGGCCAGGACAGUGGUUCUGCCUGGAGCCCAGGAGAGGAUGGAGGGUUUAUAGUUUUGCUUACAUGGCCCUGAUGCCAUCUCGGUUUGCAGGCCUCUCCUCCAGCCGGGCCCACAUGGUCUGCCUGGGGAUGCAGCUGGUCAUCAGGGCCUGGUCCUGAAUUCUCAAGGGAGGACACUUCCAACAAGUCCUGGGCGGCUCCUUCCACCCUGGACAUGGGCAGGGACCACUUCUUCGGUGCCUCCUCCCAGUCCCUGCUGCCUUGAAGGACUGGAUUAUAAUUCCCUUGAGGACGGAAGAGGCCUCGAAGUGCUUCCUACCUGCUUCCUCAUAUCAGCAUUCCUUCCAAGAAAGGCCCAGGCUCUUAAUGCACAAUUAGAGAUAAAAGGCUGAAACCGGAGGAGGUGAUGCUUGGAGUGGGCGUUUCUCAGUUGAAAUAUAAUCAGUCCAACAACUAGGAUAAUUGACUGGUUAUCAAACCAUUUUUGCUUUUGAUGGUAGGAAAGGAGAGAAGUUAUUUGCAAGGCAGAGAUUUUGUAAAUAAAGAGAAGAGCCACCACUCCAGGAAAGUUUAGAGCAGUGAUUCUCCCUCCUGCAAAAUUAUCUCGGGAGGGGCGUUCAAAACAUAUCCACUUCCUCUGCCUCAGCCCAGGGAUUGGAAUUCAGUGGGGCCCAACACCCCAAGAUGAUUGCCGUACUGGUUGAACCACUACAACCCAGUUGCAGUCAGAUUAAACCACUGAAAGAUGGAGGCAGACUUGCAGACCCCAGCAUGGAGUUCACUGUUUCUCAGGCCUGGACCAAUGGAAGACAUGUCCUAACUUUAACCUGCAGUGCUACGUUCUGAAAUAUACAUCAGGAAUUGAGAAGUUUAGGUGCUUAAAAAAAAAAAAAAAAAAAAAAA
RNAcentral lists this long non-coding RNA (4598 nucleotides) under Sus scrofa (pig). Its description in RNAcentral is "lncRNA (ENSSSCG00065026734.1)". The record is from RNAcentral. Lineage: Eukaryota; Metazoa; Chordata; Mammalia; Artiodactyla; Suidae.